UACGGGAGGCAGCAGGGAAUAUUGUGCAAUGAGCGAAAGCUUGACACAGCGACACCGCGUGUGGGAUGACGGUUCUAGGAUUGUAAACCACUUUCAGGAGGGAAGAAAAUGACGGUACCUCCACAAGAAGACCCGGCCAACUAUGUGCCAGCAGCCGCGGUAAUACAGCCAGCAGCCGCGGUAAUAC
Molecule: ribosomal RNA, 187 nt
Filed under: uncultured bacterium
Lineage: Bacteria
Description: partial 16S ribosomal RNA
Rfam family: Bacterial small subunit ribosomal RNA
Source: RNAcentral